RNAcentral lists this ribosomal RNA (2921 nucleotides) under Staphylococcus aureus. RNAcentral's name for it is "bacterial LSU rRNA". It matches the Rfam family "Bacterial large subunit ribosomal RNA". Lineage: Bacteria; Bacillati; Bacillota; Bacilli; Caryophanales; Staphylococcaceae. The record is from RNAcentral.
UUAAGUUAUUAAGGGCGCACGGUGGAUGCCUUGGCACUAGAAGCCGAUGAAGGACGUUACUAACGACGAUAUGCUUUGGGGAGCUGUAAGUAAGCUUUGAUCCAGAGAUUUCCGAAUGGGGAAACCCAGCAUGAGUUAUGUCAUGUUAUCGAUAUGUGAAUACAUAGCAUAUCAGAAGGCACACCCGGAGAACUGAAACAUCUUAGUACCCGGAGGAAGAGAAAGAAAAUUCGAUUCCCUUAGUAGCGGCGAGCGAAACGGGAAGAGCCCAAACCAACAAGCUUGCUUGUUGGGGUUGUAGGACACUCUAUACGGAGUUACAAAGGACGACAUUAGACGAAUCAUCUGGAAAGAUGAAUCAAAGAAGGUAAUAAUCCUGUAGUCGAAAAUGUUGUCUCUCUUGAGUGGAUCCUGAGUACGACGGAGCACGUGAAAUUCCGUCGGAAUCUGGGAGGACCAUCUCCUAAGGCUAAAUACUCUCUAGUGACCGAUAGUGAACCAGUACCGUGAGGGAAAGGUGAAAAGCACCCCGGAAGGGGAGUGAAAUAGAACCUGAAACCGUGUGCUUACAAGUAGUCAGAGCCCGUUAAUGGGUGAUGGCGUGCCUUUUGUAGAAUGAACCGGCGAGUUACGAUUUGAUGCAAGGUUAAGCAGUAAAUGUGGAGCCGUAGCGAAAGCGAGUCUGAAUAGGGCGUUUAGUAUUUGGUCGUAGACCCGAAACCAGGUGAUCUACCCUUGGUCAGGUUGAAGUUCAGGUAACACUGAAUGGAGGACCGAACCGACUUACGUUGAAAAGUGAGCGGAUGAACUGAGGGUAGCGGAGAAAUUCCAAUCGAACCUGGAGAUAGCUGGUUCUCUCCGAAAUAGCUUUAGGGCUAGCCUCAAGUGAUGAUUAUUGGAGGUAGAGCACUGUUUGGACGAGGGGCCCCUCUCGGGUUACCGAAUUCAGACAAACUCCGAAUGCCAAUUAAUUUAACUUGGGAGUCAGAACAUGGGUGAUAAGGUCCGUGUUCGAAAGGGAAACAGCCCAGACCACCAGCUAAGGUCCCAAAAUAUAUGUUAAGUGGAAAAGGAUGUGGCGUUGCCCAGACAACUAGGAUGUUGGCUUAGAAGCAGCCAUCAUUUAAAGAGUGCGUAAUAGCUCACUAGUCGAGUGACACUGCGCCGAAAAUGUACCGGGGCUAAACAUAUUACCGAAGCUGUGGAUUGUCCUUUGGACAAUGGUAGGAGAGCGUUCUAAGGGCGUUGAAGCAUGAUCGUAAGGACAUGUGGAGCGCUUAGAAGUGAGAAUGCCGGUGUGAGUAGCGAAAGACGGGUGAGAAUCCCGUCCACCGAUUGACUAAGGUUUCCAGAGGAAGGCUCGUCCGCUCUGGGUUAGUCGGGUCCUAAGCUGAGGCCGACAGGCGUAGGCGAUGGAUAACAGGUUGAUAUUCCUGUACCACCUAUAAUCGUUUUAAUCGAUGGGGGGACGCAGUAGGAUAGGCGAAGCGUGCGAUUGGAUUGCACGUCUAAGCAGUAAGGCUGAGUAUUAGGCAAAUCCGGUACUCNUUAAGGCUGAGCUGUGAUGGGGAGAAGACAUUGUGUCUUCGAGUCGUUGAUUUCACACUGCCGAGAAAAGCCUCUAGAUAGAAAAUAGGUGCCCGUACCGCAAACCGACACAGGUAGUCAAGAUGAGAAUUCUAAGGUGAGCGAGCGAACUCUCGUUAAGGAACUCGGCAAAAUGACCCCGUAACUUCGGGAGAAGGGGUGCUCUUUAGGGUUAACGCCCAGAAGAGCCGCAGUGAAUAGGCCCAAGCGACUGUUUAUCAAAAACACAGGUCUCUGCUAAACCGUAAGGUGAUGUAUAGGGGCUGACGCCUGCCCGGUGCUGGAAGGUUAAGAGGAGUGGUUAGCUUCUGCGAAGCUACGAAUCGAAGCCCCAGUAAACGGCGGCCGUAACUAUAACGGUCCUAAGGUAGCGAAAUUCCUUGUCGGGUAAGUUCCGACCCGCACGAAAGGCGUAACGAUUUGGGCACUGUCUCAACGAGAGACUCGGUGAAAUCAUAGUACCUGUGAAGAUGCAGGUUACCCGCGACAGGACGGAAAGACCCCGUGGAGCUUUACUGUAGCCUGAUAUUGAAAUUCGGCACAGCUUGUACAGGAUAGGUAGGAGCCUUUGAAACGUGAGCGCUAGCUUACGUGGAGGCGCUGGUGGGAUACUACCCUAGCUGUGUUGGCUUUCUAACCCGCACCACUUAUCGUGGUGGGAGACAGUGUCAGGCGGGCAGUUUGACUGGGGCGGUCGCCUCCUAAAAGGUAACGGAGGCGCUCAAAGGUUCCCUCAGAAUGGUUGGAAAUCAUUCAUAGAGUGUAAAGGCAUAAGGGAGCUUGACUGCGAGACCUACAAGUCGAGCAGGGUCGAAAGACGGACUUAGUGAUCCGGUGGUUCCGCAUGGAAGGGCCAUCGCUCAACGGAUAAAAGCUACCCCGGGGAUAACAGGCUUAUCUCCCCCAAGAGUUCACAUCGACGGGGAGGUUUGGCACCUCGAUGUCGGCUCAUCGCAUCCUGGGGCUGUAGUCGGUCCCAAGGGUUGGGCUGUUCGCCCAUUAAAGCGGUACGCGAGCUGGGUUCAGAACGUCGUGAGACAGUUCGGUCCCUAUCCGUCGUGGGCGUAGGAAAUUUGAGAGGAGCUGUCCUUAGUACGAGAGGACCGGGAUGGACAUACCUCUGGUGUACCAGUUGUCGUGCCAACGGCAUAGCUGGGUAGCUAUGUGUGGACGGGAUAAGUGCUGAAAGCAUCUAAGCAUGAAGCCCCCCUCAAGAUGAGAUUUCCCAACUUCGGUUAUAAGAUCCCUCAAAGAUGAUGAGGUUAAUAGGUUCGAGGUGGAAGCAUGGUGACAUGUGGAGCUGACGAAUACUAAUCGAUCGAAGACUUAAUCAA